GGGUGACGGCGUACCUUUUGUAUAAUGGGUCAGCGACUUACAUUCAGUGGCAAGCUUAACCGAUUAGGGAAGGCGUAGCGAAAGCGAGUCCGAACAGGGCGUUGAGUCGCUGGGUGUAGACCCGAAACCAGAUGAUCUAUCCAUGGCCAGGUUGAAGGUGCGGUAACACGUACUGGAGGACCGAACCCACUAACGUUGAAAAGUUAGGGGAUGAGCUGUGGAUAGGGGUGAAAGGCUAAACAAAUCUGGAAAUAGCUGGUUCUCUCCGAAAACUAUUUAGGUAGUGCCUCGUGUCUCACCUUCGGGGGUAGAGCACUGUCAUGGUUGGGGGGUCUAUUGCUGAUUACCCCGCCAUAGCAAACUCCGAAUACCGAAGAGUGCAAUCACGGGAGACAGACAUCGGGUGCUAACGUCCGGUGUCAAGAGGGAAACAACCCAGACCGCCAGCUAAGGUCCCCAAAUAUAGCUAAGUGGGAAACGAAGUGGGAAGGCUAAAACAGUCAGGAGGUUGGCUUAGAAGCAGCCACCCUUUAAAGAAAGCGUAAUAGCUCACUGAUCGAGUCGUCCUGCGCGGAAGAUGUAACGGGGCUAAGCUAUAUACCGAAGCUGCGGACGCACGCAAGUGCGUGGUAGGAGAGCGUUCUGUAAGCCUGUGAAGGUGUCUUGUAAAGGAUGCUGGAGGUAUCAGAAGUGCGAAUGCUGACAUGAGUAGCGAUAAAGGGGGUGAAAGGCCCCCUCGCCGUAAGCCCAAGGUUUCCUACGCAACGUUCAUCGGCGUAGGGUGAGUCGGCCCCUAAGGCGAGGCAGAGAUGCGUAGCUGAUGGGAAGCAGGUUAAUAUUCCUGCACCGUCGUAUGAUGCGAUGGGGGGACGGAUCGCGGAAGGUUGUCCGGGUGUUGGAAGUCCCGGUCCCUGUAUUGGAGAAGGCGCU
RNAcentral lists this ribosomal RNA (930 nucleotides) under Cupriavidus phytohabitans. RNAcentral describes it as "Cupriavidus sp. AcVe19-1a partial 23S ribosomal RNA". It matches the Rfam family "Bacterial large subunit ribosomal RNA", at positions 591 to 1532 of the family's 2925-position model. Lineage: Bacteria; Pseudomonadati; Pseudomonadota; Betaproteobacteria; Burkholderiales; Burkholderiaceae. The record is from RNAcentral.